UAGGUAAAUGGCUUUUCCAGCCAUUUUUGAUUUUUUUUUUCUUGAAUCAUCACCUUAUUUGAUUAUCUCUACAUUUUAAAAAGAUCCCCAGAGCUGCCCUUGAGGUUAAGCACAUUGUUUACACCACUGGGCCAGUUGACAGGUGCCCUGUCUUAAGGGGAGGCGAGGAGGGGGUUGGGAACAAGGAGAAAAAGCUACAAGCUGUAGCCUCUGACCCAAGGCAACAUGGCUUUUCAACCCUGGGGAGACUCCCUCAGUGACUGAUUAAGGGCUAUGUUAGAAAUGUUCAGAGAACAGAGGAAGAAUUCAGUCCAGUUUAGUCUCUCCCCACUGAGCCAGAAGGGUCUCCAGUGCCUCUCCCUCCCACAAGCCAAGUCUCACCUUACAUGCCCUGUUUCUUCUCAUGUUAGAUGCAGCUUGCCUGCAGAUGCCUGAAGAACCACCCUCAGUGGGCAUUGCAGGACUCUCACCAUGCCUCCGUCAGCUGGAACCACAUCACAGCUUGGAUGUUAUGGGAAAAGCAACCGCAUUCAUUGAGGUCCACCUCACAGCCCUCAGAUGACAGAAGCAGCAGUUCCGAGGCACCGCCUCCUGUUCACCAGGAAUCAAUUCCAAGCCCAGCAACAAUGUCCUGCAGGCAAUUCUGCAUACCUGCAGUGGCUGGAGUAAUAGACAACCCGCUGUCCAUGAAGAGGGUCCAGAAGACAGCCCCACGACUGAGGCAACAAGGAACACACUAGCGAGAGAGGCAGUGGAAGAGGCAGCAACGAAAAGUCAAGGCACUGUCCUCCGUAGGCCUAACUGAACCCCUGGCUCAUCUGGCUCCAGCGCAGACCUCGGCAGGGGACCCUGGAGCUGGUCAGUGGACAGUCCCUCUGAGUGACAUGUCUCACCUCAGGCACAUGCCUGGCCAUCUCUCUGCUUUCUGCCUUGGGACUUUCUCCAAAGUCUGCUUGGUCCACAUGGACGUGAUGUAGAAGUGUGGGAGUGUUAACGCCUUAGGGGAGGAACUUUGGAGAAUGAGGAACACGCAGUGAGUGAAUGACCCCUGCCCCCCGCCACACUGUCCUUCAGUGGGACAAUCCUGGGACACACUGGCCACAGUUCCUCUGAGGACCUGUGAUGAGACAAGUCCCUGAUGUCCACAGCGGUAAAAACUCUCCCUGUAUUGACCUCAAAUACAGGCUGCUCUAAUGUCAAAAAGUCACCGUGUAUUAUUCUUUCUCGUAUUCUGUCUCCUUCUCUCAGCAGCCACACUACUGCUCCUUGGGGCCACCUCCCAAUUCAACUCGACACCCCAGCCUGUGUCUCAUGCUUUGUUUUCCGGGGAGCCCUAUCUAAGGUUCUUCUUCUGUGCUUAAACUUGGGAACCAGUUAGCAUAUUAUUAUUAUGUUGAAACAUCCUCAUUUGGAAAACAUAUCCCAGCUUAGCAUUAACUGAUUAUUGGUGAUACUGCCAAUCUAAGAGCUACAUUUCACUUUCUCCACUCCAAGUUCAUUUAGGGGAGAAGCAGUGUUUUUCCCAUACCCCUCACGCUGUCCUUGAUGGCAAAGCCAGGUAAAGCUCACAAUACAUUAUGUGUGAGCAAAGAGGCAGAACUACUGUAUUUUAUAAAGAGCAGUUAUUAUUAAAAGCAAUAAGUGAGCCUAAUUAGGUCCAGCACAUCUGAAAGUAAUUGCAUUGCCUCCUGUAAGCAUUUUAGUGUGUCCAAGUGCUUAGCCUUAAUUCUCCACACUAACUCUCACUGAUUGUUUGCUCUGCCAUUUGCUAAGACCUGCCUUUCCUAAGUUAUCAUCGCUAUUUAUUCUGAAUCUGUAUUUUCAAUCUGUAAAACAUUAGAUGGCUCUGCUUCCACCUUUAUCAGGAAAAAGAAUCUUUCCUGAUUUAGAUCCCAGAUCUUGAAAUGUUCUCUCUCUGGCAGACCCCAAGCCUCACCACUGCAAUUUGAAAAGCUUCCAGAAUCCCAUUUCCUUCACAGAUUUCCCUCUGAGGAACAUAAUAUUGCACUGGCUCCAGCCUCUGGAAACCUGGAAUUACCCAGAACCUCUCUUUCCUGAACUCCCCAAGCGGCCCUCAGCACCUGGCAGGCACUGAGACCCAGAUGGGUUGUUAGAUGCUCCUUUGUCUUCAGUGUCAUGGUUUUUAAACUAGAAAUUCCUUGACAUCAAGAAUAACAUUUUUGUAACUCAGUUCCUAGUACAAGGUCAUGAACCGUGAAACACAAUACAGUCUUUUUUUAAUGAAGGUAGAGUCAAGGGUAAGUUCAGGGAACACAAAAGAAAAAAUUAAUAUCUAGCAAGUGAACAACAUUUUGAUCGGGUUAAUAUUAGAAGGCUCAGUGAGUUGGUUCACAGAGCUAUAAUAUAGUUCUUAAUACUUAGAAGCCUAAAGUAAUUUAAAAACAGACAGAAAUAAGUUGUAUGUGCUGGAGAGAACGGCGUCACAGAGCCAACACAUUCCUAUAUAAUUCUGAGUGUUCUCUAUGGUAUAAAGACAAUAUAGUAACAGCCUGGAUGCAUCAUUAUCAUUGUGUACGUUUGUGUCUUACAGCCCUAAAGGGUAUAAGGAAAAUUAUAGAACCAGAGAGGAGCUAAGUCCACUAAUCGAAUAUUUAAGAAAUAUUAAGUAUGGAUGGAAAGAUGGGAUUAUCUCAUUCAACUCCCUGAUUUUAUACGUUGGUAUUGUCAGAAGGAUACAGGCCCAGCAAUGAGCCUUUGGUAUCCUUCUAACAUGAAUGCGGGAAGAAAGCUUGUUGAUUCUCCUCAUCUGCAGGUUUAUCAGGAAGCCAGGAAAGGCUUUUAGGGAUCUAUAUAGAAAGGAAAAAAAAAAACACCAAACUGUAAACUAAAGCUUUAUGAACACAUACAUUCAUCAUAGGCUGUUUAUAAUAGCUGGGAAAUUAGAAAUUACCUGAAUUCGAAUAGUAAGGUAAGAGUGAAGUAAAUCAUAAGAUAAUGUACAAUGGAAUAUUGUGUAGAUAUUAAAAGUGUUUCAUAAAAAAAUUAAUACCAUGGGAAAGAGCAGGAUACUAAAUUUAUAUAGAGAGUAUUAUCUCACCUGUGUAGAUAUCAAUGCCUGGAUAGAAAAAAAUACAGACAAAAGCAUCCAAAAUGGUAACUCUGGAUAGCGUGUAUCUUUGGAUGCUGGGAUGCUGGUGAUUUUAAUUUUUUAAAAUAAUGUUCUGUACUUUUCAUAAUGAUUUUCUAACGGGAAAAAUUUUUUAAGCAGGAACACGUAAAAUUAUUUAAAAUAUAUUAGUUAAUAUAAACUAUAAAUUUUUACAUGAAAGAUAGUUUUCAAUAUCUCUGCAUCAAUCUUUUAAAAAAUUUCUUAUUGGAGUAUAGUUGCUUUACAAUAUUGUGGUAGUUUCUGCUGUAGCAAAGUGGAUCAGCUGUAUGUAUAUACAUAACCCCUCUUUUUUAGAUUUCCUUCCCAUUUAGGUCACCACAGAGCACUGAGUAGAAUUCCCUGUGCUAUACACUAGGUCUUCAUUAGUUAUAUAUUCUGUAUCAGUCUUCGAAUAAGAGAGGGUACAUGUAGGGAGAAGCAAGACUUUUUCUCAUAGUAUCAUGCUGCUGUGGGUAGUUCUGACAUGCAAAAUACAAAGAGAAGUAACAUCACAAAAUUUUACAGUGAAUUUGUGACUCCGAUAAGAAAACUAUUAAAGUUCUAGAUUUGGGUGUUUUGUUUUGUUACUCUAGGCACAGCUUCAGGUUUUCUUGAUUUUGUUUUGGGUGAUAGUGUAAAAUCAAGGUCAUUGUGAGUUCAAGUCCUCCAAGAAGUAGAUGUCAAGAUGGGGUAAGAUGAGGUACAAGAGAGGUGCAAGAGAGGGUAACAGCUGUAAGCACAAAUGGAGAGAGAGCAGGAGAAGGGAGAGAGAGCUUUCAGAUGGAAGCAAAGUCUGACUCUCGUGGAAAGAGAAUGGGUAGGAAGGUUGGGUGGUAAAAGUCUCAGACUGGGUGUGGCUCCCAAAGAGGUUCAGCCAAGCCAAUGGGAAGUUCUCAAACUAAGUUAGCCAUUGAAGUUGUCUUUGGAUGAAGCACAAGCUGGACUCAAGAUUGCCGGAAGAAAUAUUAAUAAACUCAGAU
Long non-coding RNA from Bos indicus x Bos taurus (hybrid cattle), 4089 nucleotides. The record is from Ensembl. NCBI's taxonomy places the organism in Eukaryota, Metazoa, Chordata, Mammalia, Artiodactyla, Bovidae.